CUGCGAGAGCGUCCUGGUGUCAGAGAAAGGUAUCCGGAGCGAGUGUGUAGCAACCUUCUCCUGCACAUGCGCACAGGGGACUGGCUACUAGUGGCUCAUGCUGACUGGCUGAGACGGUAAGCAAGUGAAAGCUGCGAAGCGUUGGCAACCCGAGAGCUUAAUCUUGCCAGAAAUAUUAAUUCACGACAGGAUUUUCCAGAGUAAUAACGUCAACCACUCAAUCUAUCUCAUCCAGCCAGAUUUAUAUGAAUGAUAAGAGUUAUAAAAGAUGAAAAAAAAAAGUAUCAGCAACUCAUAAGAGUUGAGUUGACAUGAGACUCUUGUAAGAUAUUUCAUCUAUUUAUUGAUGCUUUUAUUUACUUAUUUAUUAAUUUCAAUUUUUGUUUUCAUAUUUACUUCAUCUCCGGAGUGUCUCCUGUAUAUUAUACGCAGCUACACGAGAAAAAAAAAAAAAAGCUGAACGACUUGGCUGUCCUGCAGCUUGAGUUUUCUUUUCUUGGAACAAGAUUAUUAUAUUCAAUUUCCUCAAAAUGCAACACACACACACACACACACACACACACACACACACACACACACACACCUUGACAGAAGUUCAUAUAACUAUGAUGGUGUUAAAGCUACAAUUAAGAAAUAAAUAAAUAAAACUCACUUUCUUAUUUGACUUGCAGUUGACUUAAGAUUUAUUAAAGUUUUAACGACCACCUGUGAUCUGGUUUCUUGAUCUCAGCUAAACUGCAUUCAUUGCGGCUGUUAGCAAUGUCACAAACGAAAGACUGCGGGAGCCUGGCUCCUUGGCAGCUGUCCGAGGAUCCAUUUUCAAACUACUCAUUGAUAAGAAGUGUCAUCGGCAAUUCUCUACCUUAUUAUGCUGUCUCCAAAUAGUACAGUAGUUUAUACAGUGCACUAGGACUCCCGAGUAAUAACUGGCGUGCAUGCAAGGGUGGACAACAGCAACAUUAUGGAGCUAGUGAGACUAGACCAUCUAUGGUGAGACCUCAGGAGCAGCAGGACAGAAGGGAGGGAGUGCAGGAAAAUCCAUGACAGAGGUGAAGGGAGAGGAUACCAGGAAAGAAGGAAAGGAAGGUUCGCAGCUACGGUCAGCACCUGCCCGGAAGGCUGCGCUCCAACAGCCACCCUCCGUCCAGCCGCCAGCCAGUUGGGUGGAGCGGGACAUGGCUACUCAGGACCUUGAUAAUGCACCAGGAACAAAGCCUGUACUUUGAAGGCUGCUGACGGGCCUCGUGUCGGCGAUACUGCCCACCCGCCGGGGAACACGUGUUAGGAAUGCCAUCUACUGCUGAACUUACCAAGUUGAUCACUAUAGGCAUUAUUAUUAUUAUUAUUAUUAUUAUUAUUAUUAUUAUUAUUAUUAUUAUCAUCAUCAUCAUUAUCACCAUCAUCACCGUCAUCAUGUUGUUGUUGUUGUUGUUGUUGUUGAUAUUUUGUAAAUAUUGGGUUGACUGUCUCACACACACACACACACACACACACACACAUAUUUAACUACAUGGUGUUGCAUCAAUUUAGAUUUGGGUGGAAGUGUGAGAAACAUGGUGCAUUUGUUUCCAAACAAGAUAUAUGGUAGAUGGCUGAAUAAAAAUUCCACCUCGUCUGCUAUGUGGUUCUGAAUGCGGGACGACGCAGUGCCUCCCUCACUCCUGCACGUACUUUUACUGUCUGGGAGGAGCGGGAAGCGAGACACUAUUUUCAGAGGUCAAAAAGAUGAUCUAUCGGGUCCCUAAGAUUUUUUCUUGUUAUUUUCUAUUAACGAUGUUGAAUCCUUUUUAAACUAUUGUUAUAAUUAUGAACACAUUCUUAGAAACCACAACAAUGACUAUAGGAGUCACCUUCGAAAUAAAACGAUAAACGAAACAAACAAAUGAAA
Molecule: long non-coding RNA, 1888 nt
Organism: Scylla paramamosain (green mud crab)
Lineage: Eukaryota; Metazoa; Arthropoda; Malacostraca; Decapoda; Portunidae
Exons: 2
Source: RefSeq, a predicted model, not a curated record